Molecule: non-coding RNA, 69 nt
Filed under: unclassified sequences
Source: RNAcentral
UUGUUAACUCCGCCAUCAAAUAAUAAUUAUUUGAUGCCGGUCUCAAGCCCGGAAAAGGAGGAGAGGAAA